GGCGAACGGGUGAGUAACACGUGGGUGAUCUGCCUUGCACUUCGGGAUAAGCCUGGGAAACUGGGUCUAAUACCGGAUAGGACAGCUGUUUAGUGUCAGUUGUGGAAAGUUUUUUCGGUGCAAGAUGAGCUCGCGGCCUAUCAGCUUGUUGGUGGGGUAAUGGCCUACCAAGGCGUCGACGGGUAGCCGGCCUGAGAGGGUGGACGGCCACAUUGGGACUGAGAUACGGCCCAG
RNAcentral lists this ribosomal RNA (234 nucleotides) under uncultured Actinomycetales bacterium. Its description in RNAcentral is "partial 16S ribosomal RNA". It matches the Rfam family "Bacterial small subunit ribosomal RNA", at positions 97 to 334 of the family's 1533-position model. Lineage: Bacteria; Bacillati; Actinomycetota; Actinomycetes; Actinomycetales. The record is from RNAcentral.